Molecule: transfer RNA, 75 nt
Filed under: Armatimonadota bacterium
Lineage: Bacteria; Bacillati; Armatimonadota
Also listed under: 2 other names
Description: Armatimonadetes bacterium (fermentation metagenome) tRNA-Ala
Rfam family: tRNA
About the family: Transfer RNA (tRNA) molecules are approximately 80 nucleotides in length.
Source: RNAcentral
GGGGCAGUGGCGCAGUGGGAGCGCGUCUCCUUGGCAUGGAGAAGGUCGCGGGUUCAACUCCCGCCUGCUCCACCA